Molecule: ribosomal RNA, 512 nt
Filed under: Lysmatidae sp. 1 KYKC-2019
Lineage: Eukaryota; Metazoa; Arthropoda; Malacostraca; Decapoda; Hippolytidae
Description: partial small subunit ribosomal RNA
Rfam family: Microsporidia small subunit ribosomal RNA
Source: RNAcentral
GAAACCAGGAUUAGAUACCCUGGUAUUCUGAUCCAGAAAAAUUACCGUGCUAUUAAAAGAUAAAGGCUUUAAAAUUAAAGAAUCUGGCGGUAAUGUCAACCAAAUUAGAGGAACCUGUCCUGUGAGCGAUAAUCCGCGAUUAAUCUUACUUUGUUUAGUAUUGCUUCUUUUAAUUAUUCUAUAAGGAUAAUUAUAUAUUAGAUCAGCCGGUAUACCGCCAUUUUGAAGUGAUUUCUGAAGAGAUUACUGUAAAAUUUGAUUUUUAUAAAAUAAAACAAGACAAGUAUAGGCCAAAAAAGCCAAAGCCAAUAAGAGCUUUUGAUAAGUUUAUAUUUAGAAAAUUAGGUCCAGGUGCCGCCAAUAACAAGAGUAGAGAUGGGUUACAAUUUUAUUGAAGAUAAAUAUAAUUAACGGAUGAAGUUUGAAAAACUAUCUGAAGCCGGAUUUAACAGUAAUAUAAAUUUAAUACGUUUAUAUGAAGAUGAACUGAAUUACGUACACAUCGCCCGUCG